Molecule: ribosomal RNA, 839 nt
Filed under: Bacillus sp. M_Sw_oHS_02/11_4_1(1)
Lineage: Bacteria; Bacillati; Bacillota; Bacilli; Caryophanales; Bacillaceae
Description: bacterial SSU rRNA
Rfam family: Bacterial small subunit ribosomal RNA
Source: RNAcentral
ACAUGCAAGUCGAGCGGACCGACGGGAGCUUGCUCCCUUAGGUCAGCGGCGGACGGGUGAGUAACACGUGGGUAACCUGCCUGUAAGACUGGGAUAACUCCGGGAAACCGGGGCUAAUACCGGAUGCUUGAUUGAACCGCAUGGUUCAAUCAUAAAAGGUGGCUUUCAGCUACCACUUACAGAUGGACCCGCGGCGCAUUAGCUAGUUGGUGAGGUAACGGCUCACCAAGGCGACGAUGCGUAGCCGACCUGAGAGGGUGAUCGGCCACACUGGGACUGAGACACGGCCCAGACUCCUACGGGAGGCAGCAGUAGGGAAUCUUCCGCAAUGGACGAAAGUCUGACGGAGCAACGCCGCGUGAGUGAUGAAGGUUUUCGGAUCGUAAAACUCUGUUGUUAGGGAAGAACAAGUACCGUUCGAAUAGGGCGGUACCUUGACGGUACCUAACCAGAAAGCCACGGCUAACUACGUGCCAGCAGCCGCGGUAAUACGUAGGUGGCAAGCGUUGUCCGGAAUUAUUGGGCGUAAAGCGCGCGCAGGCGGUUUCUUAAGUCUGAUGUGAAAGCCCCCGGCUCAACCGGGGAGGGUCAUUGGAAACUGGGGAACUUGAGUGCAGAAGAGGAGAGUGGAAUUCCACGUGUAGCGGUGAAAUGCGUAGAGAUGUGGAGGAACACCAGUGGCGAAGGCGACUCUCUGGUCUGUAACUGACGCUGAGGCGCGAAAGCGUGGGGAGCGAACAGGAUUAGAUACCCUGGUAGUCCACGCCGUAAACGAUGAGUGCUAAGUGUUAGAGGGUUUCCGCCCUUUAGUGCUGCAGCAAACGCAUUAAGCACUCCGC